ACGCUCGACACCUACAGGAGGCAGCAGUGGGGGAAUAUUGCACAAUGGGGGAAACCCUGAUGCAGCGACGCCGCGUGAGUGAAGAAGUAAUUCGUUAUGUAAAGCUCUAUCAGCAGGGAAGAAAGUGACGGUACCUGAGUAAGAAGCCCCGGCUAACUACGUGCCAGAGCCGCGGUAAUCUGAGCGGGCUGGCAAGGC
RNAcentral lists this ribosomal RNA (198 nucleotides) under uncultured bacterium. Its description in RNAcentral is "partial 16S ribosomal RNA". It matches the Rfam family "Bacterial small subunit ribosomal RNA", at positions 328 to 539 of the family's 1533-position model. The record is from RNAcentral.